UACGUAGGUGGCAAGCGUUGUCCGGAAUUAUUGGGCGUAAAGCGCGCGCAGGCGGUCCUUUAAGUCUGAUGUGAAAGCCCACGGCUCAACCGUGGAGGGUCAUUGGAAACUGGAGGACUUGAGUGCAGAAGAGAAGAGUGGAAUUCCACGCGUAGCGGUGAAAUGCGUAGAGAUGGGGAGGAACACCAGUGGCGAAGGCGACUCUUUGGUCUGUAACUGACGCUGAGGCGCGAAAGCGUGGGGAGCAAACAGG
This 253-nucleotide ribosomal RNA is filed under the name uncultured bacterium. RNAcentral's name for it is "partial 16S ribosomal RNA". It matches the Rfam family "Bacterial small subunit ribosomal RNA", at positions 524 to 776 of the family's 1533-position model. The record is from RNAcentral.